Molecule: long non-coding RNA, 303 nt
Filed under: Lupinus angustifolius (narrow-leaved blue lupine)
Lineage: Eukaryota; Viridiplantae; Streptophyta; Magnoliopsida; Fabales; Fabaceae
Description: long non-coding RNA (LANG_LNC001555)
Source: RNAcentral
UCCCCAAGCUACAGCCCCACAUCCCCUGCAUAUAGUCCCACAUCCCCAUCCUAUAGUCCAACAUCCCCAUCCUAUAGUCCAACAUCCCCUUCCUAUAGUCCAACAUCCCCUUCCUAUAGUCCAACGUCCCCUUCCUACAGUCCAACAUCCCCUUCCUACAGCCCUACAUCACCUGCGUACAGCCCUACUUCCCCUGGCUACAGCCCUACAUCACCUAGCUACAGCCCUACUUCACCUAGCUACAGCCCUACUUCACCUAGUUUCAACCCACAGUCAGCGAAGUAUAGUCCUUCACUAGCAUAU